This is a non-coding RNA of Pongo abelii (Sumatran orangutan), 98 nucleotides long. Lineage: Eukaryota; Metazoa; Chordata; Mammalia; Primates; Hominidae. The record is from Rfam.
AUCACUUGGGGUUCUUGUUAAAAUGCAGAUUCUGAGUCAGUAGUUCCCAAGAAUGGAUUGAGAUUAUGCAUUUCUAAUGAGCUUCCAGGUGAUGCUGA